Molecule: ribosomal RNA, 254 nt
Filed under: uncultured bacterium
Lineage: Bacteria
Description: partial 16S ribosomal RNA
Rfam family: Bacterial small subunit ribosomal RNA
Source: RNAcentral
UACGGGGGGAGCAAGCGUUGUUCGGAUUUACUGGGCGUAAAGGGCGCGUAGGCGGUCAGCACAAGUCAGUUGUGAAAUCUCCGGGCUUAACUCGGAAAGGUCAACUGAUACUGUGCGACUAGAGUGCAGAAGGGGCAACUGGAAUUCUCGGUGUAGCGGUGAAAUGCGUAGAUAUCGAGAGGAACACCUGCGGCGAAGGCGGGUUGCUGGGCUGACACUGACGCUGAUGCGCGAAAGCGUGGGGAGCGAACGGG